AGACCGAUAGCGAACAAGUACCGUGAGGGAAAGAUGAAAAGCACUUUGGAAAGAGAGUCAAACAGUACGUGAAAUUGUUGAAAGGGAAACGAUUGAAGUCAGUCGUGCCUGCCUAGAUUCAGCCUUCUGGUGUAUUUCUAGGUCGGCAGGUCAGCAUCAGUUUGGGAGGGUUAACAAGGGGAUUAGGAAUGUAGCAACCUCGGUUGUGUUAUAGCCUAGUUUCGUAUUGAUCUUGCUGGACUGAGGAACGCAGUGCGCCCGCAAGGGUAGGUCUUCGGACACUUUCGCACUUAGGAUGCUGGCAUAAUGGCUUUAAACGACCCGUCUUGAAACACGGACCAAG
Molecule: ribosomal RNA, 343 nt
Filed under: Cystofilobasidium capitatum
Lineage: Eukaryota; Fungi; Basidiomycota; Tremellomycetes; Cystofilobasidiales; Cystofilobasidiaceae
Description: eukaryotic LSU rRNA
Rfam family: Eukaryotic large subunit ribosomal RNA
Source: RNAcentral